CAGUAGCCACGGGAAUACAGAGGGUGCGAGCGUUAAUCGGAUUUACUGGGCGUAAAGCGUGCGUAGGCGGCUAAUUGAGUCGGAUGUGAAAUCCCCGAGCUUAACUUGGGAAUUGCAUUCGAUACUGGUUAGCUAGAGUGUGGGAGAGGAUGGUAGAAUUCCAGGUGUAGCGGUGAAAUGCGUAGAGAUCUGGAGGAAUACCGAUGGCGAAGGCAGCCAUCUGGCCUAACACUGACGCUGAGGUACGAAAGCAUGGGGAGCAAACAGGAUUAGAUACCCCUGUAGUCCCUGUCUCUUAUAA
This 301-nucleotide ribosomal RNA is filed under the name uncultured bacterium. RNAcentral describes it as "partial 16S ribosomal RNA". It matches the Rfam family "Bacterial small subunit ribosomal RNA", at positions 509 to 809 of the family's 1533-position model. The record is from RNAcentral.